This is a long non-coding RNA of Ostrea edulis (European flat oyster), 719 nucleotides long. RefSeq lists it as uncharacterized. The record is from RefSeq and is a predicted model, not a curated record. NCBI's taxonomy places the organism in Eukaryota, Metazoa, Mollusca, Bivalvia, Ostreida, Ostreidae. The transcript is spliced from 2 exons.
AAAGCGAUCAAGAUUGCUUUAUCGCCGAGUGACGUCAUAAUCUCUAGCACCUGUUCACCAAAGCUCGGGUUUCCAGGAUACGCCAUUUAUUGUCAAAUCAAGAUCACCGGAUAUAAAAUGCGUCCUAAGUGUUUCUUUAUCAUUUAUUUGAUAAUUACAAUGCUUGUGGAGAGUAAAGCUGCCUCUGUGGCUGUACAGAAGGCGACCCGUGGUCUGGAGACAUGGUGCAGAACGCGAGAGUGUAUAGAGGAAAUGCUCAAAUGGGAACAACAGAUGUCGUCCCAUAAUAUAGGAAAUAUCUUUGGAAAAUUUGGAGGGUGAUGACACAUUCCAGCGACAAAGUUUCCGUUGGCUGAUUUCAGUUGAUUUUUAAUUGUGCUUAAUUAAAUAAGUUGCUGACAUUGUCAAAAAACUGCGUUGCCAGUGAGUGAAAUCGGUAAGGCGACUGUUAUGUCCUUAGUAUAUUUCCUACGCUAGUGUAUUGGCAAUUUAAAUUUUUUAUUAUCAUUGUCGGAUUUAGUAGUUUUUCUAUUCUUGUGUAUCUGUUAUGUUAUUCAUUUCACUCAAACGAACUUUAAUAAAUAAUUUAUUAUGUAAAUAAACACACACGUGUAGGUACAUAUAUAUAUAGAGAGAGAGAGAGAGAGAGAGAGGCGCACUCAGAAAUUGCAGUUUAUAUAUUAUAAGUACAUGUCAUUGUAUAAUAAAUGUAAAUCUGU